This 492-nucleotide ribosomal RNA is filed under the name uncultured bacterium. RNAcentral describes it as "partial 16S ribosomal RNA". It matches the Rfam family "Bacterial small subunit ribosomal RNA", at positions 29 to 507 of the family's 1533-position model. The record is from RNAcentral.
AGUGAACGCUGGCGGUAGGCCUAACACAUGCAAGUCGAACGGCAGCACAGUAAGAGCUUGCUCUUACGGGUGGCGAGUGGCGGACGGGUGAGGAAUACAUCGGAAUCUACUUUUUCGUGGGGGAUAACGUAGGGAAACUUACGCUAAUACCGCAUACGACCUACGGGUGAAAGCAGGGGAUCUUCGGACCUUGCGCGAUUGAAUGAGCCGAUGUCGGAUUAGCUAGUUGGCGGGGUAAAGGCCCACCAAGGCGACGAUCCGUAGCUGGCCUGAGAGGAUGAUCGGCCACACUGGAACUGGGACACGGUCCAGACUCCUACGGGAGGCAGCAGUGGGGAAUAUUGGACAAUGGGCGCAAGCCUGAUCCAGCCAUACCGCGUGGGUGAAGAAGGCCUUCGGGUUGUAAAGCCCUUUUGUUGGGAAAGAAAAGCAGCAGGUUAAUACCCCGCUGUUCUGACGGUACCCAAAGAAUAAGCACCGGCUAACUUCGUG